This is an RNA transcript of Chenopodium quinoa (quinoa), 3163 nucleotides long. It is a transcript of the gene named microtubule-associated protein 1B-like, with no coding region annotated. The record is from RefSeq and is a predicted model, not a curated record. The transcript has 10 exons. Lineage: Eukaryota; Viridiplantae; Streptophyta; Magnoliopsida; Caryophyllales; Amaranthaceae.
GGUGUAACAGCAGUCCAAUUACCCCCCAACCCAAUUAAAAAAGGCCCUAAAACUAAAAACAUGGUAAUUACAAAACAAUUGGCCCUAAAACACGGAAAAUUCAAUACCCCCACCCACAUUGAAGUAACGUCACUUCUAUUCAAACCUUUCUUCUGCUCUCUUAUUUUCUCUCUCCUCUAGUUCAUAUUCUCUCACUAAAAAUCUGGAAAAAUCACAAUGGACCUAAGAGAUGAAAUGCAAAAUCAGAAGGAUCAUCCAAAGAAGAGAAAAACAAAAAAUGCUUCAAAAUCUACUGGAAAUCAAGAAGAUAUGCCGCUAAAUAAAAUGUUUGGCACCAAAAAGAAGAAAGUGGCAAAGAGUCCUACUGUAGAUCCGAAAUUACUCAAUGAGAUUUCGAAACAAGUUGUUGAAGAAGAGGAAAAUCAAAACAACAGUUAACGAUGAAGUCGAACCACCAAAAGAAGGAGAAAAACAACCACAAGAACGAUCAAAAGAUGCAAGAAAAGAAGGGGAAAAACAACCAGAAAAACCUUCUAAAGAAGCACAAAAGGUUCAAUCAAAAGCAACAGAGUUACCAAAAAAAAAAGGGUGAAGCAUAUUGCAACAAAAAAGAAAUCAUCAAACAACUGUUCGGAAGCCUCCUCAAGCAAGAGUAGAACAAGCAAAACUCAAAGACACAAAAAAACAAUGAGAAAGAUGGAGGUGAGAAAGAAAAGGAAGCUCUGAAAACUGAAAAAGUUAAGGUGGAGAAGGGGAAACAAAGUGAGAAAGUUGAUGGUGUAAAAAAUGAGAAAGCACAUAAAAAAAGAAAGAGAGAUGCAAAUGAAGAUGUACAUGAGGUGGUAAAACUUGAUGAUGCUGAAGAUUUGGAUGAUUAUGGUAAGUUGCAAGUGAGGGUUGGGCAUUUCAAAUUCAUGACAUUUGCAUCAAAUUUGAGCCUUUCUCAAAAGCAAGCAAUUAUUGACAUGGGAUUUGGAGCUUUACUCGAUGUAAAUCUUCCACAAAAUGACCAAUCAUUUUCUGCUUGGCUUAUGCAUUGUUUCAAAGAGAAUAGCCGCACACUUUAUCUUCCGUACAACAAAUCUAUUGUUGUUUGUGAAGAUGUUGAAGUUGUGUAUGGAAUCCCGAGAGGGGAGAAAGAAGUGAAGGAGGUAGAAGAUGAGGAACAAGAAGAGACUCCUUUGACUAGAUGGAGGAAAGAUUGGGGUGUUGUGUCUGGUAGCCCUAAAACACACAAUGUUCUGAAGAAGUCUGAGGAAGAAAAAGAGAAAAAGAUGGAAAUCAUGAAAGCAAAGAUGAACAGAAGGAAACUGGAAAUGAACACAGAACCUGCAAAAGUGAACAAUGGUGAAGUUGAUGAAAUCUUCAUUAUCUAUUUCAUUGUGUUGGCUGUAAAUUGCUUCAUGAAAAGCAGCCAAAGCAUACACUUGCACUACAAGUUUCUGUUCUCAAUUAAGAAUGUGUUUGAAAUCAAGGAAUACAAUUGGUGCAAGUAUGUCCUUGAUAGCUUAAUGGAUACAAGCAGUUCUUGGAAAUUGAAUCCAAAAGGGUUUUACAAAGGACCUUUGCCUUUUCUUCUGUUGUUUUACUUUGAUCGCAUUCAAAAGUAAAACAUCAUGCCACCAAGAACUCCUCCUAUCAUAUCUGUAUGAACAAAGGAUAUGGUGGUCUAAAGGAUGAAGUUGGAGAGCCAUGGAGUUGGAUUGGGUAAUAUUUUGCCUAGAGUUGAAAUCAAAAGGAAAACAACACAAGAAGAAUGUACUAAUAUACCAAUGGCCAAGGAGGAAUUUAUGGAAGAGUUUAUUAGUGUGGUCAGAAUUAUGGGUGGGAAUUGUGAAAAAUUGUGUGAAAUGAUAAAGCAUGCUGAAGAGCUUUUCCCAAAUAAUCUUCUUUACAAAACAGUGGGAGAUUAUAUGCAAAAGAAAUUUAAGGAUCCUUCAAAUCCUUCAAUUUUGAGUCUAGAUGAAGAAUUAUUUGGAACAGAUUCUUUCUUGAAUGCUUUAGACAAGGUUGAAAAGGAGUAUUUGGAGAAAGUACAAGCUGAAAAGAAAGCAAGAGAAAGAAGAGGCAAAGAGGAAGAAGAAAGUAAGAGAGUCAUUCGAUCCACAAAAUGCUUAGAAUUUAGGGAUCGACAAAGAACAAACUCCUAGUCCAAUGGUUCAUCCAACUGAGACACAAAUUGGACAAAACAUUGAUUUGAACCUCGGGGCUAGGUAUGGGAGGGUCAAGUAGUGCAGGUGUGGAGCAGGAGCAACCGGUGAUUGAAGCAUCGGAAUUUGAUCAUAUGUUCAAAACUCAAGACCCUACAUUUGAGGACAUUUUGAACAACCCAUUGAAUCCAGAAUUUCAAUAUGCAGGAUCUAAAGGAGAAUCGAAAAAUCCAGGAAAUGUGUCAAAGGACAAAACAGCAAGGUGAAUAAAAAAAAUAAAAAAAAACCCGUUUACAUAAUUUUGACCUUUUAUAAACUAACAAUGUUAUUUUAUGUAGGGCUGGCAAAAGCUGACCCAACCCGACAACCCGACCCAAACCCAACCCGAAAUAAAUGGGUUUUGAAAGAGAUUUUCAACCCGUUUAUGUAAUUGGGUCAACCUGAACCCGACCUGAAGUUAAAUGGGUCGGGUGCAGGUUGGAAAUCCCAACCCGAAACCAACCCGCCUAAACCCAUUUAAUUAAUUGGGUUGGUUUCAGGUCGGGUCAACCCGAACCUAACCCACCUAAACCUGUUUACCAGCCCUAAUUUUAGUUAUUUACACCCUAACUUUUAAAUAUGGGCUAAGCCCAAAUAUCUAACCACAAAAAUGAAAAACCCUAAGCUUUGUUCUUUAUUCACGCCGCUUCCCCAAUUCCCCUCUUUCACUCAUUCUCUCUCCUCUCUCUCUCUUUCAUCUCUCUUCUCUCUUGUUUUCAUAUUUUUUUCCAUGAAAAUUGUUUAUUAAAGCUUGUGAAUCUUCAUCUCAACAUUGUCAAAGAUGGUUGAUACUUGAUUGUCCUCUUCCUCCUUUACCCGUUGAACUUGCUGGUUAUGAAGAAUCAGAUGAUGAAGUUACUAAUUGGCAAAUAUUGAAUUUCUGUUAUAUGUAUUUUGGAACUCUUGGAACUUUUUAGUGUUGUAUAAUUGUACUAUAAACUAUGCAGCAAGUGGCUUUGAAUUUGCAUUUUACA